GAUGAACGCUGGCGGCGUGCUUAACACAUGCAAGUCGAACGGAAAGGCCCUGCUUUUGUGGGUUGCUCGUGUGGCGAACAGGUGAGUAACACGUGAGUAACCUGCCCUUGACUUUGGGAUAACUUCAGGGAACUGGGGCUAAUACCGGAGAGGAGCUCCUGCUGCAUGGGGUGGGUUGGAAAGUUUCGGCUUUUGGGUAUGGACUCGCUGCUUAUUAGCUUGUUGAUGGGGUUGGUGCUUACCAGGGUUUUGACGGGGACCCGGCCUGGGAGGGUUAACGGCCACAUUGGGCCUGAGAUAGGGCCCAGUCUCCUACGGGAGGCAGCAGUGGGGAAUAUUGCACAAUGGGCGGGAGCCUGAUGCAGCGAUGCUGCGUGCGGGAUAAUGGCUUUCGGGUUGUAAACCGCUUUAGACUGUAAUGAAGCGUGAGUGACGGUAAUGGGUAAAGAAGCACCGGCUAACUACGUG
RNAcentral lists this ribosomal RNA (468 nucleotides) under uncultured bacterium. RNAcentral's name for it is "partial 16S ribosomal RNA". It matches the Rfam family "Bacterial small subunit ribosomal RNA", at positions 28 to 507 of the family's 1533-position model. The record is from RNAcentral.